GAGUUUGAUCCUGGCUCAGGAUGAACGCUGGCGGCGUGCCUAAUACAUGCAAGUCGAGCGGUAAGGCCCUUCGGGGUACACGAGCGGCGGACGGCUGAGUAACACGUAGGAACGUACCCCAAAGUGAGGGAUAAGCACCAGAAAUGGUGUCUAAUACCGCAUGUGCUCUAAGGAGUAAAGCUCCGGCGCUUUGGGAACGGCCUGCGCAUGAUUAGCUAGAUGGUGAGGUAAUGGCUCACCAUGGCGACGAUCAUUAGCUGGUCUGAGAGGAUGAUCAGCCAGACUGGGACUGAGACACGGCCCAGACUCCUACGGGAGGCAGCAGUAGGGAAUUUUCCACAAUGGGCGAAAGCCUGAUGGAGCAACGCCGCGUGCAGGAUGAAUGCCUUCGGGUUGUAAACUGCUUUUAUAUGUGACGAAUAUGACGGUAGCAUAUGAAUAAGGAUCGGCUAACUCCGUGCCAGCAGCCGCGGUCAUACGGAGGAUCCAAGCGUUAUUCGGAAUUACUGGGCGUAAAGAGUUGCGUAGGCGGCAUAGUAAGCAGAUAGUGAAAGCGUGUGGCUCAACCAUACUCACAUUAUCUGAACUGCUAAGCUAGAGGACGAGAGAGGUCACUGGAAUUCCUAGUGUAGGAGUGAAAUCCGUAGAUAUUAGGAGGAACACCAAUGGCGUAGGCAGGUGACUGGCUCGUUCCUGACGCUCAGGCACGAAAGCGUGGGGAGCAAACGGGAUUAGAUACCCCGGUAGUCCACGCCGUAAACGAUGGAUGCUAGCUGUUAGAGGUAUCGACCCCUCUAGUAGCGAAGCUAACGCGUUAAGCAUCCCGCCUGUGGAGUACGGUCGCAAGACUAAAACAUAAAGGAAUUUGACGGGGACCCGCACAAGCGGUGGAGCGUGUUGUUAAAUCGAUGGUAGCGAAGAAUCUUUACCCAGGCUUGACAUCCUUGGAAGCACUGCGAAGCAGCGUGUGCCUUUCGGGAA
RNAcentral lists this ribosomal RNA (981 nucleotides) under bacterium enrichment culture. RNAcentral describes it as "bacterial SSU rRNA". It matches the Rfam family "Bacterial small subunit ribosomal RNA", at positions 9 to 1026 of the family's 1533-position model. The record is from RNAcentral.